RNAcentral lists this ribosomal RNA (497 nucleotides) under uncultured bacterium. Its description in RNAcentral is "partial 16S ribosomal RNA". It matches the Rfam family "Bacterial small subunit ribosomal RNA", at positions 28 to 507 of the family's 1533-position model. The record is from RNAcentral.
GAUGAACGCUGGCGGCGUGCCUAAUACAUGCAAGUCGAGCGAACGGACGAGAAGCUUGCUUCUCUGAUGUUAGCGGCGGACGGGUGAGUAACACGUGGAUAACCUACCUAUAAGACUGGGAUAACUUCGGGAAACCGGAGCUAAUACCGGAUAAUAUUUUGAACCGCAUGGUUCAAAAGUGAAAGACGGUCUUGCUGUCACUUAUAGAUGGAUCCGCGCUGCAUUAGCUAGUUGGUAAGGUAACGGCUUACCAAGGCAACGAUGCUUAGCCGACCUGGGAGGGUGAUCGGCCACACUGGAACUGAGACACGGUCCAGACUCCUACGGGAGGCAGCAGUAGGGAAUCUUCCGCAAUGGGCGAAAGCCUGACGGAGCAACGCCGCGUGAGUGAUGAAGGUCUUCGGAUCGUAAAACUCUGUUAUUAGGGAAGAACAUAUGUGUAAGUAACUGUGCACAUCUUGACGGUACCUAAUCAGAAAGCCACGGCUAACUACGUG